Molecule: ribosomal RNA, 496 nt
Filed under: uncultured bacterium
Lineage: Bacteria
Description: partial 16S ribosomal RNA
Rfam family: Bacterial small subunit ribosomal RNA
Source: RNAcentral
GAUGAACGCUGGCGGCGUGCCUAAUACAUGCAAGUCGAGCGAACAGACGAGGAGCUUGCUCCUCUGACGUUAGCGGCGGACGGGUGAGUAACACGUGGAUAACCUACCUAUAAGACUGGGAUAACUUCGGGAAACCGGAGCUAAUACCGGAUAAUAUAUUGAACCGCAUGGUUCAAUAGUGAAAGACGGUUUUGCUGUCACUUAUAGAUGGAUCCGCGCCGCAUUAGCUAGUUGGUAAGGUAACGGCUUACCAAGGCAACGAUGCGUAGCCGACCUGAGAGGGUGAUCGGCCACACUGGAACUGAGACACGGUCCAGCCUCCUACGGGAGGCAGCAGUAGGGAAUCUUCCGCAAUGGGCGAAAGCCUGACGGAGCAACGCCGCGGGAGUGAUGAAGGUCUUCGGAUCGUAAAACUCUGUUAUUAGGGAAGAACAAAUGUGUAAGUAACUAUGCACGUCUUGACGGUACCUAAUCAGAAAGCCACGGCUAACUACGU